Molecule: unclassified non-coding RNA, 238 nt
Filed under: Hevea brasiliensis (rubber tree)
Lineage: Eukaryota; Viridiplantae; Streptophyta; Magnoliopsida; Malpighiales; Euphorbiaceae
Source: RNAcentral
UUUUUUUUUUAUUAUUUUUUUGAUAUUUAUGGAUUUGUUUCAUUCUUAAUUCCAAUCAAUUUAUAAACACACAAAAAAGCCACCUGAAGUGGACUUGUCAUAAUUUGAUAGCAUAGGUAUUAGUACAAAAUUAAAAGAGCUAGAAUUACUUAUUGACAUAAAAAAUAAGGAAUAGAAAGCUUGAAUUUAGAAAUCUAGUUCCAACCAAUUAGAAACAAUAAUUGUAAAAUUUGUAGUA